CGUAAUGUACACUGUAUAUAAUUGAAUUCAUUUAAUAAUUAGAUAACGGCUAGUUAUGAUUAUCUUGCAAGUUUAGCGAUUCAAAAACUGCAUAUUGUAUAGCUUUUGCUGCCCUCACUUCCCGCAGGCGUUUGCAAUGUCUUAAGACUGUUAAUAAGUUCAAUUUCGUCUUAUCGAGCUUUGUCUUGGUCUGCCGGUGAUAGUCCUCAGCAGUAAAAAAAUACACCUUUCCUGCGGAGUGUGAUGAAACUUAGUAAUCCUAAUACCAGUAUAAAAUCCCCGUUUUUCCCUAGAGCUAAAAGGCUGUAUUUUGCCUUGAGAAUGGAAUUAAUGGUGACCAAGAAAUUAUUCAGAGUUUCCAAAGUCUGUCUGCCGAUCAUAUACUUGGGCAAUUGGUUGAACUCUUCCUGGGUUAUUAAGCUCAGCUCUGGAUAACAGGUGGUAGGUUCAUUGAACAGUGUCAUUUUACAGUUGUGGUGUUCUUCGUAUCUAUCAUUCUGUUUGAUUGCUGACAAGGUAUGUACGGAGUGCGGGGUAAAACUUUCUUGGCUUGGUUUUUUUACCCCCAUGCGUGAUAUAUCUGUCAUUCCUGACAAGGUUCCAAAAUUGCGCAGAUAGUCAGAUGGUACAUUAUUCUCCAUAUGAAUGAUCUUUGCGUUCAAUGACUCUAAAAGCACUGAUAAUUUCU
RNAcentral lists this unclassified non-coding RNA (688 nucleotides) under Athalia rosae (coleseed sawfly). RNAcentral describes it as "misc RNA ENSAEAG00005012382.1". Lineage: Eukaryota; Metazoa; Arthropoda; Insecta; Hymenoptera; Athaliidae. The record is from RNAcentral.